Molecule: ribosomal RNA, 497 nt
Filed under: uncultured bacterium
Lineage: Bacteria
Description: partial 16S ribosomal RNA
Rfam family: Bacterial small subunit ribosomal RNA
Source: RNAcentral
GAUGAACGCUGGCGGCGUGCCUAAUACAUGCAAGUCGAGCGAACAGAUGAGGAGCUUGCUCCUCUGACGUUAGCGGCGGACGGGUGAGUAACACGUGGAUAACCUACCUAUAAGACUGGGAUAACUUCGGGAAACCGGAGCUAAUACCGGAUAAUAUAUUGAACCGCAUGGUUCAAUAGUGAAAGACGGUUUUGCUGUCACUUAUAGAUGGAUCCGCGCCGCAUUAGCUAGUUGGUAAGGUAUCGGCUUACCAAGGCAACGAUGCGUAGCCGACCUGAGAGGGUGAUCGGCCACACGGGAACUGAGACACGGUCCAGACUCCUACGGGAGGCAGCAGUAGGGAAUCUUCCGCAAUGGGCGAAAGCCUGACGGAGCAACGCCGCGUGAGUGAUGAAGGUCUUCGGAUCGUAAAACUCUGUUAUUAGGGAAGAACAAAUGUGUAAGUAACUAUGCACGUCUUGACGGUACCUAAUCAGAAAGCCACGGCUAACUACGUG